UACAGAGGGUGCGAGCGUUAAUCGGAAUUACUGGGCGUAAAGCGCACGUAGGUGGCGACGUAAGUCGGGUGUGAAAGCCCCGGGCUUAACCUGGGAAUUGCAUUCGAGACUGCAUUGCUGGAGUACGGAAGAGGAGGGCGGAAUUCCCGGUGUAGCGGUGAAAUGCGUAGAUAUCGGGAGGAACAUCAGUGGCGAAGGCGGCCCUCUGGUCCAGUACUGACACUCAAGUGCGAAAGCGUGGGGAGCAAACAGG
This 253-nucleotide ribosomal RNA is filed under the name uncultured bacterium. RNAcentral's name for it is "partial 16S ribosomal RNA". It matches the Rfam family "Bacterial small subunit ribosomal RNA", at positions 524 to 776 of the family's 1533-position model. The record is from RNAcentral.